UACGCACGGCGCAUCACGGACUGCGCUGUGUAUGCUGUGGCCCGGGUCCGGCACACGGUGCGCCUCAGCCUGGGCUGGAUUUACACGCCCCUCUACCUGGGGCUGAUCCUGCUGGUCGCCCACUUCAAUGUCGUGUACCGAUGG
RNAcentral lists this non-coding RNA (144 nucleotides) under Eutreptiella gymnastica. Lineage: Eukaryota; Euglenozoa; Euglenophyceae; Eutreptiales; Eutreptiaceae. The record is from RNAcentral.